Long non-coding RNA from Patella vulgata (common limpet), 455 nucleotides. RefSeq lists it as uncharacterized. Lineage: Eukaryota; Metazoa; Mollusca; Gastropoda; Patellidae. The transcript is spliced from 2 exons. The record is from RefSeq and is a predicted model, not a curated record.
ACAGUGUAACGGUCAAAUUUGUAGUGGUCUGAUUCCAGUGGUGUUGACGCUUCGUGCUUGCAUCUCAAUGAGCCUGGACGAUCGUGUGACGCAACGCUAAUUACAUUGUUUAAUAAUAAGACUGGUUAAUUUGGCCCUUUGUCUUUAGAAUGACGAGCACGAGCACCUCAAGUCAAUAGUUAAACAGUAAAGUUUCUUAUAAGUAUAGUAAAAGUUUAGUCUUUACGGACAUGAUGGGCCUAUAAUACGUCAAUCUCAUUAAUCAGUACUCAAUCUCAGUACUUCAACUUGAUACGAUGCAUUUGAAUUGAAUUCAACUAUAGUAGUAUUACAGAAUGGAUCGACUGUUUAGAUAGAUUAUAGAAAGAUUCUACUGUAAACCCGUUGUAACUUUAGAUGUAAUGUCAUAGAUAGCUGUACAGUGUUGUUAGAAAGAAUACAUCGUUGAAUCAGUU